AAGCUCGUAGUUGAAUUUCGGGCCCGACUGAGUGGUCUUGCCUCGUUGUAAGCACUGCUCUGGUUGGGUCUUUCCUUCUGGCUAACCAGCUGCCUUUCAUUGGGUUGGCUGGGGCUCCAGGACUUUUACUUUGAAAAAAUUAGAGUGUUCAAAGCAGGCAUUUUUUAGCUUGAAUACAUUAGCAUGGAAUAAUAAAAUAGGACUUUGGUUCUAUUUUGUUGGCUUCUAGGACCGAAGUAAUGAUUAAUAGGGAUAGUUGGGGACGUUAGUAUUUAGUUGUCAGAGGUGAAAUUCUUAGAUUUACGAAAGACUAACUCCUGCGAAAGCAUUCGUCAAGGAUGUUUUCAUUAAUCAAGAACGAAAGUUAGGGGAUCGAAGACGAUCAGAUACCGUCGUAGUCUUAACCAUAAACUAUGCCGACUAGGGAUCGGACGACGUAUAAUUAUUGACUCGUUCGGCACCUUAUGAGAAAUCAAAGUUUUUGGGUUCCGGGGGGAGUAUGGUCGCAAGGCUGAAACUUAAAGGAAUUGACGGAAGGGCACCGCCAGGAGUGGAGCCUGCGGCUUAAUUUGACUCAACACGGGGAAA
RNAcentral lists this ribosomal RNA (588 nucleotides) under uncultured Chytridiomycota. Its description in RNAcentral is "SSU rRNA". It matches the Rfam family "Eukaryotic small subunit ribosomal RNA", at positions 624 to 1213 of the family's 1831-position model. The record is from RNAcentral. Lineage: Eukaryota; Fungi; Chytridiomycota.